UACGGAGGAUGCAAGCGUUAUCCGGAAUGAUUGGGCGUAAAGCGUCCGCAGGUGGCUAUGUAAGUCUGCUGUUAAAGAGUGAGGCUCAACCUCAUAAGAGCAGUGGAAACUACAUAGCUAGAGUGCGUUCGGGGCAGAGGGAAUUCCUGGUGUAGCGGUGAAAUGCGUAGAUAUCUGGAGGAGCACCGGUGGCGAAGGCGGCAUCCUGGACCGACAUUGACGCUGAGGCGCGAAAGCCAGGGGAGCAAACGGG
This 253-nucleotide ribosomal RNA is filed under the name uncultured bacterium. RNAcentral's name for it is "partial 16S ribosomal RNA". It matches the Rfam family "Bacterial small subunit ribosomal RNA", at positions 524 to 776 of the family's 1533-position model. The record is from RNAcentral.